This 77-nucleotide transfer RNA is filed under the name Sporomusa termitida. RNAcentral describes it as "tRNA-Met". It matches the Rfam family "tRNA". Rfam says of the family: Transfer RNA (tRNA) molecules are approximately 80 nucleotides in length. Their secondary structure includes four short double-helical elements and three loops (D, anti-codon, and T loops). RNAcentral also lists the same sequence under 11 other names. Lineage: Bacteria; Bacillati; Bacillota; Negativicutes; Selenomonadales; Sporomusaceae. The record is from RNAcentral.
GGCGGCGUAGCUCAGCUGGCUAGAGCAUUCGGUUCAUACCCGAAGUGUCCGGGGUUCAAAUCCCUGCGCCGCCACCA